Long non-coding RNA from Daphnia pulicaria, 264 nucleotides. RefSeq lists it as uncharacterized. The transcript has 2 exons. The record is from RefSeq and is a predicted model, not a curated record. NCBI's taxonomy places the organism in Eukaryota, Metazoa, Arthropoda, Branchiopoda, Diplostraca, Daphniidae.
UCAGCCGCACUGCAAGAUGACGGCAGGCAGAAUGUGGUGCUGGGUAAAAUGUAAGUGUUGGCAUCCGCGACGGACACUUUUGGGUCGACCCGAUCCGGUCCCAAUAAUCCCAAAAGCUGAAAAAUGGUGAUCAGGUUGCCCCGUUGCUCCUCGUGGUUAUCGCUGAAUGAUCCCGGAGGUAGAAUUUCGGACGGAUCAACGGCCGUCGGUUUAAAAGCGACGAUGCAAUAUUGUCCAUCAAAACCAGGUGCCCGAACGGCCAGA